RNAcentral lists this ribosomal RNA (837 nucleotides) under uncultured bacterium. Its description in RNAcentral is "bacterial SSU rRNA". It matches the Rfam family "Bacterial small subunit ribosomal RNA", at positions 28 to 896 of the family's 1533-position model. The record is from RNAcentral.
AAUCAACGCUGGCGGCGUGCCUAACACAUGCAAGUCGCACGAGAAAGGGUCUUCGGAUCUGAGUAAAGUGGCGCACGGGUGAGUAACACGUGAAUCAUCUACCUUCGAGUGUGGAAUAACUGAGAGAAAUCUUAGCUAAUACCGCAUAAUACCUACGGGUCAAAGCAGCAAUGCGCUUGAAGAGGAGUUCGCGGCAGAUUAGUUAGUUGGCGGGGUAAUGGCCCACCAAGACGAUGAUCUGUAUCCGGCCUGAGAGGGCGCACGGACACACUGGAACUGAAACACGGUCCAGACUCCUACGGGAGGCAGCAGUGGGGAAUUUUGCGCAAUGGGGGAAACCCUGACGCAGCAACGCCGCGUGGAGGAUGAAAUAUCUUGGUAUGUAAACUCCUUUCGAUGGGGAAGAUAAUGACGGUACCCAUAGAAGAAGCCCCGGCUAACUUCGUGCCAGCAGCCGCGGUAAUACGAGGGGGGCAAGCGUUGUUCGGAAUUAUUGGGCGUAAAGGGUGCGUAGGCGGUUUGACAAGUCUUGUGUGAAAUCUAUGGGCUCAACCCAUAGUCUGCACAGGAAACUGUCGGGCUUGAGUAUGGGAGAGGUGAGUGGAAUUUCCGGUGUAGCGGUGAAAUGCGUAGAUAUCGGAAGGAACACCUGUGGCGAAAGCGGCUCACUGGACCAUAACUGACGCUGAUGCACGAAAGCUAGGGGAGCAAACAGGAUUAGAUACCCUGGUAGUCCUAGCCCUAAACGAUGAUUGUUUGAUGUGGGGGGUACCCAAUCCUCCCGUGUCGAAGCUAACGCGAUAAACAAUCCGCCUGGGGAGUACGGUCGCAAGGCUG